AUCCAGUUGACGAGUCCCAAAUAGGACGAAAAACAUGUCCUGGAU
This 45-nucleotide non-coding RNA is filed under the name Schistosoma mansoni. The record is from RNAcentral. Lineage: Eukaryota; Metazoa; Platyhelminthes; Trematoda; Strigeidida; Schistosomatidae.